This 490-nucleotide ribosomal RNA is filed under the name uncultured bacterium. Its description in RNAcentral is "partial 16S ribosomal RNA". It matches the Rfam family "Bacterial small subunit ribosomal RNA", at positions 30 to 507 of the family's 1533-position model. The record is from RNAcentral.
AUUGAACGCUGGCGGCAUGCUUUACACAUGCAAGUCGAACGGUAACAGGCCUUCAGGUGCUGACGAGUGGCGAACGGGUGAGUAAUGCAUCGGAACGUGCCCAGAGGUGGGGAUAACGCAGCGAAAGCUGUGCUAAUACCGCAUGUGAUCUGAGGAUGAAAGCGGGGGACCAGGCAGCAAUGUUUGGCCUCGCGCCUUUGGAGCGGCCGAUGUCAGAUUAGGUAGUUGGUGGGGUAAAGGCCUACCAAGCCGACGAUCUGUAGCUGGUCUGAGAGGACGACCAGCCACACUGGGACUGAGACACGGCCCAGACUCCUACGGGAGGCAGCAGUGGGGAAUUUUGGACAAUGGGCGCAAGCCUGAUCCAGCAAUGCCGCGUGCGGGAAGAAGGCCUUCGGGUUGUAAACCGCUUUUGUACGGAACGAAAAGGCUCUGGCUAUACCUGGGGCUGAUGACGGUACCGUAAGAAUAAGCACCGGCUAACUACGUG